AUGGCUUCCGCUACUGCUUCCGUCUCGUCGCACUCCAGCGCCCUGCGCGAUCUCAAAGCCGCGAGGAUUGGAGCCGUGAGGCAGCAGGUGGCCGUGGUUCCAGCGGGCCUGCCGGCAAAGGCGCCCAAGGGCCAGCGCGCGAGGGCGGUGCGCCCGCUGUGCGCGGCGGAGCCAGCGAGGAAGCCAGUGUCGGCCUCCGCGGCCUCGUCGCCGGUGGCGCCGGUGGAGGAGGAGGAGGCAUCUGCCGUGGACUACGAGGCCCUGGCGCAGGAGCUGGUGGGCGCGUCGCCGCUGGAGAUCAUGGAUCGUGCGCUCGACAUGUUCGGCUCCGAAAUCGCCAUCGCCUUCAGUGGUGCCGAGGACGUGGCCCUCAUCGAAUACGCGAAACUGACUGGACGCCCCUUCAGCGUGUUCAGCCUUGACACUGGGCGGCUGAACCCAGAGACAUACGAACUCUUCGAUAAGGUGGAGAAGCACUACGGUAUCCACAUCGAGUACAUGUUCCCUGAGGCCAGCGAGGUGCAAGACCUUGUGAGGAGCAAGGGCCUCUUCUCUUUCUACGAGGACGGCCACCAGGAGUGCUGCAGGGUGAGGAAGGUUCGGCCCUUGAGGAGGGCCCUCAAGGGCCUCAAGGCCUGGAUCACCGGGCAGAGGAAGGACCAGUCCCCUGGCACCAGGGCCAGCAUCCCUGUUGUUCAGGUUGAUCCGUCUUUUGAAGGGCUGCACGGUGGAGCCGGUAGCUUGAUCAAGUGGAACCCUGUGGCUAAUGUCGAUGGCAAGGAUAUCUGGACCUUCCUCAGGACCAUGGAUGUCCCUGUGAACACCCUGCAUGCUCAAGGCUACGUCUCCAUUGGGUGCGAGCCGUGCACCAGGCCCGUGUUGCCGGGGCAGCACGAGAGGGAAGGGAGGUGGUGGUGGGAGGACGCCACGGCCAAGGAGUGCGGCCUCCACAAGGGUAACAUCGACAGGGAAGAUCAGGCACCCAAGGUCGGCGUUAACGGCAAUGGCUCGGCCGAGGCCCGCGCCCCAGACAUCUUCCAGAGCCAGGCCAUCGUCAACCUCACCCGUCCCGGGAUCGAGAACCUCCUGCGGCUCGAGAACCGCGCCGAGCCGUGGCUCACCGUCCUCUACGCUCCCUGGUGCCCAUACUGCCAGGCGAUGGAGGCGUCCUACGUUGAGCUGGCCGAGAAGCUGAGCGGCUCAGGCAUCAAGGUGGCCAAGUUCCGCGCAGACGGCGAGCAGAAGCCAUUCGCGCAGGCGGAGCUGCAGCUACAGAGCUUCCCGACGAUCCUCCUCUUCCCCGGCCGCACCGUGAAGCCUAUCAAGUACCCGUCCGAGAAGAGGGACGUCCAAUCCCUCCUCGCCUUCGUGAACAGCCUCAGAUGA
Molecule: ribosomal RNA, 1386 nt
Filed under: Triticum aestivum (bread wheat)
Lineage: Eukaryota; Viridiplantae; Streptophyta; Magnoliopsida; Poales; Poaceae
Description: partial small subunit ribosomal RNA
Source: RNAcentral